CCUACGGGGGGCUGCAGUGGGGAAUAUUGGACAAUGGGGGGAACCCUGAUCCAGCCAUGCCGCGUGUGUGAAGAAGGCCCUCGGGUUGUAAAGCACUUUCAGUGAGGAAGAACGCCUGGUGGUUAAUACCCAUCAGGAAAGACAUCACUCACAGAAGAAGCACCGGCUAACUCCGUGCCAGCAGCCGCGGUAAUACGGAGGGUGCGAGCGUUAAUCGGAAUUACUGGGCGUAAAGCGCGCGUAGGUGGCUUGAUAAGCCGGUUGUGAAAGCCCCGGGCUCAACCUGGGAACGGCAUCCGGAACUGUCAAGCUAGAGUGCAGGAGAGGAAGGUAGAAUUACCGGUGUAGCGGUGAAAUGCGUAGAGAUCGGGAGGAAUACCAGUGGCGAAGGCGGCCUUCUGGACUGACACUGACACUGAGGUGCGAAAGCGUGGGUAGCAAACAGGAUUAGAUACCCCUGUAGUC
RNAcentral lists this ribosomal RNA (465 nucleotides) under Vreelandella stevensii. RNAcentral's name for it is "partial 16S ribosomal RNA". It matches the Rfam family "Bacterial small subunit ribosomal RNA", at positions 338 to 795 of the family's 1533-position model. Lineage: Bacteria; Pseudomonadati; Pseudomonadota; Gammaproteobacteria; Oceanospirillales; Halomonadaceae. The record is from RNAcentral.